This 440-nucleotide ribosomal RNA is filed under the name uncultured bacterium. RNAcentral's name for it is "partial 16S ribosomal RNA". It matches the Rfam family "Bacterial small subunit ribosomal RNA", at positions 338 to 795 of the family's 1533-position model. The record is from RNAcentral.
CCUACGGGGGGCUGCAGUGGGGAAUAUUGCUCAAUGGGGGAAACCCUGAAGCAGCGACGCCGCGUGAAGGAUGAAGGCUUUCGGUAUGUAAAGCUCUUUUAGUAGAGAAGAUAAUGACGGUACCUGACUAAUAAGCACCGGCUAACUACGUGCCAGCAGCCGCGGUAAGACGGAGGGGGCAAGCGUUAUCCGGAUUUACUGGGCGUAAAGGGCGCGUAGACGGGGUAUCAAGUCAGAUGUGAAAGCCUUGGGCUCAACUAUAGCACUGCAUUUGAAACUGUGAAACUGGAGUACAGGAGAGGUAGGCGGAAUUCGUGGUGUAGCGGUGAAAUGCGUAGAUAUCAGGAGGAACACCAGUGGCGAAGGCGGCUUACUGGACUGUAACUGACGUUGAUGCGCGAAAGCGUGGGGAGCAAACAGGAUUAGAUACCCCUGUAGUC